GAAGAGGGGACGAGUCCCCAUUUAUGUAAGCCGUUUGUAGCUGUGGAUUGUAAAACUGGGCAGGAUCCUCUGGAGUAAUUCAUAGUGUUUGGACAAGACAAACAUUGUUCUGCUUUAAACAAACCUCCAGAAAGGUCAGCCUGGUUCAUCCCUUUGCUGUGAGUCGCUGAGACUAUCCAGAUGAUGAGAAAAUCAGAUCUUAGCUGAGGGGGCCCAGGCAAGAGGCAGCUGUCUCCUGAGUCCCUUGGACCCAGGGUGAGGGCACCCAGCCCAGUGAGGGUCCUUUGCUCCCGUUGAAAAGGGCUGAUUCUCCCUUCGGAGCCAGGAGACGUGGUAUGUUCAUGUGUGUGUGUGUGUGUGUGUGUGUGUGUGUGUGUGUAUCACAGAUUAUGAAAUUUUGAUACUACCAAGGAUCAUCCAAGUUCUAGAGCAAGGCCAACAUGACCUGUAAUGUGAGUCUUCUUUACUCGGGUAAGGGAUUCAUGGGAAACAAAUGUUCUCAGAUGCAGAAUUGAAUUAGACCUGCUAGCCUCAGGCCCAGACAUGCUUCUGGACACCAAGAAGUCCCUGUUCCUUACCUGCGGAUGCUCUGGCUGGGCGCCUCGAUGUUUCAUUUGGCAAACAUUCCUUGAGUGCCUACAAGGGCCAAAUGGGCUAGGCGUUGGGCACACCGCAGUGAGCAAGAGACGUCACACCCAGUUGUGGGUCUGGGUCCGACCUCUCCUCUCCGUCCCUGAGUUCCCUAAGAAGAGGAACUUCUCACACUUUCACCUGCAGCUGCUCCACCACCAUCGUGGCCACCAGAAGCCCCCUCUACCUCGGCUAAGAUCCAGCAGACCAACUCCCUAGAUCAGCCUGACAGCAGGAGAGGGGACAGCUGUCCAGAGAGGUGAAGUGACCUGCCCACCGUCUUCAUCGGUUCAGGCUGCUGUAAGAGAACACCACCGGCUGGGUGGCUUGAGUGACAACAUGUACUUACUUCUCACGAUUUGGAGGCCAAGGAGUCCCAGACCGAGGUGUUGGGCCAAUCAGGCUCCUGGCUUAGGCUCUCUUCUUGGUCUGUAGAUGACAGCCUCCUUGCUGGGUCCUCACAUGGUCAGGGGAGCGAUCGUGUCACUCAUCAGGGCACUAAUUCCAUCACGAGGGCUCCACUUUCAGGACCUGAUUACCCCGAAUGGCCCUGCCUCCGAAUACUAUGGCACUGGGGAUGAGGGCUUCCAGAUGUGAAUUUGGGAGGUACACACCAUAGCAUCCAUUGUCACAGAGGUGUAGCUAGAGACCCGGGGGGGGGGGGGGUGUAUGUGACUGGAGCUGCCCCGCUGACCACUUAAGGGGCUCCCUCCAAGCAGGGCCAGGAAGCUGGGUGCCCCGAGAGACCCCACAGACCCUAUGCUCAGCCAGAGACUAAGAGGUUGCUCUGUAGGGUAGGUCAUGUCCAUGCAGCCUUGUGUCUACUUUCUGGUGUCGUUCCAGGGGCUGGCAUGGUGGCUACUCCUUCCUUGAUGGCAGCAUCGGUGAGAGACAGGUCCCCUCCUUCCCCUAAUCCUACUUUAUUAUGUUUUAAAAGAUUUUAUUUGUUUAUUUGAGAGACACAGAGAGUGGGAGAGGGAGCGCAAGCAGGAGGGGAGCGGCAGAGGGAAAAGCAGAUGCCCCGCUGAGCAGGGAGCCCCGAGAUCAUGACCUGAGCUGAAGGCAGACACUUCACUGACUGAGCCCCCCAGGUGCCCCCCUACUUCCCUAUAACACCUUGUUAUAGUUGAAUCAUCUGUGUACUUAACUAAUCUGAAUCAGGGGCCUGUGUCCGUUUCCAUCCUGUACCACCUCUUAGAACUGAGCCCCCUAAACUUUCUCCCCGAGUGACACGUAGACCAGGAAUACUGACAUUCGGGGGGGAAUGAGCUCUUCCACAUAGCUGUUUUUUGCAAAAAACAGAAGCUUACUCCCUCAUACAGAGAGACUUUUUAUGCAGUCAUCUGUCACGAAAAACAUUUUGCCAUCAGAAUCACGAUUUUGUGUUUUCCACCUAAGUGAGCGGAACCGAAUAUAGCAGGUUUCCCCCCACAGGUGACCCACCACCUACUUCAAUGACUCAACAGCCGUAGUUAGGAGCUCAGCUCCUGGGCAAUUCUCUCAGCCUCCAACGCCUCAGCUUCCUCACUUGUAAACGGGGAAGGGGGGGGGAGCAAUAGAUGGACAUUCUAGAAGGACUACUCCUAUUCUCUUCAAUUCAGGGGAGCCUUCGGGAAUUUGGGUGGGAUGGCGUCCCUGAGUGGUGCCAGCAGAGAUUCCACCGUCAGCUGUGACGUCACUGAGGAACAACGCCCAGGGCCCUCCCAAUCUGUGGUUCCAGAACAGAGGACGCCUGACCUCAGCUGACAAGCACUUCGAAGGGAAAACCUUUCAGCUUCCCUGUGGACUGGAGUCUCCUCCCCUGAUGGCGCGGCUCCUCUUCUCUUAAAUGCUCAGGACACGAAUGACCUCCUUCUGGACUGGUUCCUAAAUCAUAAAGGGGUUGCAAUCCUGAUUUCCAGGAAAGGGGGCUUGUGACACCUCAACACAAGCAGCAAGCUCUCAGCAAGCGUACGCGCAAGAUGCUCUGCUCAGCAUCACGGGAGGGAAGAAACGGGGAGAGGUGGUCCCCGCUCCCAGGAAGGAGACCCAGAGCGAGACGCCAGGAACGUUUCAGGACCCGAGCGUUAGGGGUCCCUUCUUUGCUCCUUCCACGUACCCCCAAGGUCACCUCUUGAGAGUUGAAGGGGACCCUCCUAACUCCAGCUGCUCUAGGAUUUGCCAGAAGUUGAAAGUCAGCGUCACUGGACUGAAGUCGAGGGUCCUUCUCUUUCCAGAGGCUCCAGAGGAGGAUUGGUUCCUGGUCUCUUGAAGCUUCUGGUGACUUCUGGUGGCUGCUGGUGUUCUUGGCUUGUGGCUGCAUCAUCGUGAUUUCUGCCUGUGUCUCCACAUGGCCUCCUUGCCCUCUAUCCUGUCAGCUCUCCCUCUGCCUCUCUCUCAGAAGGACACUUGGCAUGGCACGUAGGGUGCACCCUGAUGAUCCACAGCGAUCUUCCCAUCUCGUCGUCUCCAACCAAAGACUUUGUUUCGCCAUCUAAGGCCACUUUCGUAGGUUCCAGGGAUGAAGACAUGGAUAUCUUCUUGGUGGAGGGGGAACCGCAUUUUUCCGCCUGCCACGGCUGGUCACCACCCCCAGUGGCCCAUAAUUCUGUGGCCUUUAAUUGCCUGAUUGUCAUGAAUUUGUAGUGCGUUCCUGUUCUGUGUCUGGCAGUGCGUGCAACACUGGGGAUUCAGAGGGAGAAAACACAAUUCCUCCCCGAGAAGCUCGUGGAUUAGUCAGGGCAACACUGUGGUGUUAAGAGCUAUGGGAGGGGAGCUGGGGUGGCUCAGUCAGUUGGGCGUCUACCUUCGGCUUGGGUCAUGGUCUCAGGGUCCUGGGAUCGAGCCUCGCGUCAAGCUCCCUGCUCAGCGGGGAGCCUGCUUCUCCCUCUCCCUCUGCCCCUCACCCCUGCUACUGCUCUCACAUGCUCUCCUCUCUCAAAUAAAUAAUAGAUUAAAAUCUAAAAAAUAAGAGGUAUGGGAAAAGCAACCCCUGGAUGAACCCCGAAAUGUUCAAAUUCCUUAUCAAAGUCUGCAAGACUGUGUGCACCCUCACCUGCACUCAGCUCUCUGACCUCACCUCCUACCACUCCCCAUCUCACUCCCCAAGCCCCCACCAAGCUGGCCUCCUCUCUGGUCCUUAGCGGGUCAAGGCAUGCCUCAGGACUUUUGCACUGGCUGUCUUCCCUGCCAGAAAUGCACGUUUUUCCUCCCUGCCAAGCCCCCAUACCCCCACAGCUCCCUUCCUCGCUUAACUCUGCUCUACUGGAUCCUUCUUAGAGAGGCAACCCCCAACACCCACCCCAGUACCUUGUCUAAAAUGCACCUUCCUUCCUGGCAUGCCCCCUCCCCUCCUCUGCUUUAUUUAUGUUCCUGGCACUUACCACAGUCAAGUGACUGAUCCGGGCCAUCUCCACCUCCACAGGUGUUUUGAGACGUGAUGACUAGAACUUCCCAGAGGAUCCUAGACAUAAAAGCAUCCUGUUUCUUUUCCAAUUCUCUUUCUGAGAAUUCAUUUAGCAGUUUUCUUUGCAUGUUGCAGGUUUGGGGGGAGGUCGGGGAAGGUGCUAAGCGGCACAUCAGGCUAAAUUUCAAGUAGAUCAGAAUGGGGUGGGGAAGUGGAGGCUCUUCUGGGGGGAAUGUAUGAAUGUGAGGAGCCAUUUUUCAGUGGUGAGAAUGUGUGUGUGUGUGUGUGUGUGUACGUGUGUGUGUAGAGGGGUACCUACUGGCAUUUAACGGGGCCGGGGGCAGGGAUGCUAAAUGUCCUGUGGUGGCAUUGGACCAUUCUGCCCAGGGAAGAAUUUUCUGGCCCUAAAUGUGAGCAGCACCUCUUUGGAGAGAUGAUCUUCAGGAAACAGCCUGUAUUCGGGUCUUCGAAUAGCAUUUUUCAGUUGAAACUGAAAACCUGAGGCACCUGGGUGGCUCCGUGGUUGAGCAUCUGCCUUCGGCUCAGGGCGUGAUCCUGGGGUCCUGGGAUCGAAUCCUGCAGGGAGCCUGCUUCUCCCUCUGCCUGUGACUCUCACAAAUAAAUAAAUAAAUCUGAAAGAAAGAAAGACAGACAGAAAGGAAGAAAGAAAGAAAGAAACUGAAAACCUUUAACCCUCUAAUAGUUUUUCAGGCUAUUUGUCCCCAAAUACAUCAUCUUCUGCUAACACUGACUGUGUCCCCAUGUCCCCAGGCCAUGUAUGCUAUCUCUUGAGAUGGUCCCUCUCACCCCCUUUCUCUGGGUGUCACUUCAGUGUCACCUCUGCACUUUGAGGUCUCCCUGAGAGGACGUCCUCCUUCAGGGCGCCUGUCAGCAUUGAAUGAGCUGAACCCCAACUCUGGGCUCAGAACCCCUAUACCCCCCCCCCACUACUUUCUCCACCCAGAGGACCAUCCCUUUUUGUGAACUCUGUUUCCAUCCAUGACAAAACUUCCCCCUCACAGUGAAGCAUUUUCUGUAGUUUAAUAGCGUUCAGGGUGGGACCUUGUCAAAAGGUUUUUGCAAAUGAAAAUAAAUUACAUCGGGUGGCCGGUUCCCCUGAUCCACAAGAAUUUUUCACUCCUCCAAAGAGCUCUGGUAGAUUAAAGGAUUUGGUGGAUUUGGGGUUUGUAUGGGCUUCUGUGCCCAAGUCCUGAAUCCUCUGCCAAGAAGCCGGCAACAAGGGAGGCCCAAGCUAAGGAUGAGGACCAUCCCAACACUGUGGACCUAAGUGGGUAAAUCUCCAGAAACCCUCCACACCCUACAGCCCUGUGCUUCUAUGCUCCGAGUCCUUUCCCCAAACAGCCCCAUCUCCUGAAAUCCUGCCAAGGGAAUGGGAUCACCUUGAGCAAUCCUCCCUGAGGCCUAUCGGGUGAGCUGGCAGUCUGGAAAUGAGGGGAUGCCCCUAAUUCCUCCAGGGUGAGGGACCUGGGAACCAGAUCUGGAAAUUUUGAGAAUAAAACCCCAAAGUAAAAAAAAAAAAAAAAAAAAAAAAAAGACAAAA
Molecule: long non-coding RNA, 5576 nt
Organism: Canis lupus familiaris (dog)
Lineage: Eukaryota; Metazoa; Chordata; Mammalia; Carnivora; Canidae
Exons: 2
Source: RefSeq, a predicted model, not a curated record